This 335-nucleotide unclassified non-coding RNA is filed under the name soil metagenome. RNAcentral describes it as "partial contains 5.8S ribosomal RNA, internal transcribed spacer 2, and large subunit ribosomal RNA". The stretch from base 1 to 120 matches the Rfam family "5.8S ribosomal RNA", at positions 35 to 154 of the family's 154-position model. The record is from RNAcentral.
GAUGAAGAACGCAGCGAAAUGCGAUAAGUAGUGUGAAUUGCAGAAUUCAGUGAAUCAUCGAAUCUUUGAACGCACAUUGCGCCCCUUGGUAUUCCAUGGGGCAUGCCUGUUCGAGCGUCAUUUGUACCUUCAAGCUUUGCUUGGUGUUGGGUGUUUGUCUCGCCUUUGCGUGUAGACUCGCCUUAAAAUAAUUGGCAGCCGGCGUAUUGAUUUCGGAGCGCAGUACAUCUCGCGCUUUGCACUCAUAACGACAGCGUCCAAAAGUACAUUUUACACUCUUGACCUCGGAUCAGGUAGGGAUACCCGCUGAACUUAAGCAUACAAUAAGCGGAGGA